GACGAACGCUGGCGGCGUGCCUAAUACAUGCAAGUUGAGCGCUGAAGGUUGGUACUUGUACCAACUGGAUGAGCAGCGAACGGGUGAGUAACGCGUGGGGAAUCUGCCUUUGAGCGGGGGACAACAUUUGGAAACGAGUGCUAAUACCGCAUAAAAACUUUAAACACAAGUUUUAAGUUUGAAAGAUGCAAUUGCAUCACUCAAAGAUGAUCCCGCGUUGUAUUAGCUAGUUGGUGAGGUAAAGGCUCACCAAGGCGAUGAUACAUAGCCGACCUGAGAGGCUGAUCGGCCACAUUGAGACUGAGACACGGCCCAAACUCCUACGAGAGGCAGCAGUAGGGAAUCUUCGGCAAUGGACGAAAGUCUGACCGAGCAACGCCGCGUGAGUGAAGAAGGUUUUCGGAUCGUAAAACUCUGUUGGUAGAGAAGAACGUUGGUGAGAGUGGAAAGCUCAUCAAGUGACGGUAACUACCCAGAAAGGGACGGCUAACUACGUG
Molecule: ribosomal RNA, 497 nt
Filed under: uncultured bacterium
Lineage: Bacteria
Description: partial 16S ribosomal RNA
Rfam family: Bacterial small subunit ribosomal RNA
Source: RNAcentral